AUAGAAUAUUUGGACUUCAAAGGAUUGUUUCACUUCAGGUGGAAGGCUUGAACUGCAAAAAAUGCCCCUUUGUGCAUAUCCAAGAUUGGGAACAGUGAAGUCUCUGUUAUCAUCAUGCUCAGCUACAGGCUUUGAAACCCCAUGUGAACGGCAAAUGUCUGCAGUCGGGGUGAAAAAUGUCCACUUACACUGUAGCAAAUCACAGCUUGCUUGGGUAAAUGUUCCUUCAUGAGUAUCCGUGUCAGGUGCCAAAAGUCAGGGAAAUACUGUAGAAUGGUGGGACAAAUGUGCCAUGUCAACUGUUCAUUUUCCUUAGAAAUGCACCUGGUAUGAAACAUGCAAGUGAUGCAAAUAAGCAGAAAUGUGAAAGGUAUCUGAAGUGUGACUGGUUGUACUCAUGGGACAAUGAUCAUGGUAGCUGUUUGAGAUACAAACAUUUUCUCAAGCAAUUCAGGUAGUGGGUGCCUUCUGAGGCAGGUGCCCAUUAUGUCGAGCCAGGAAUUUUGAUGGUGAUCAGACUUGCAGAUGAUGUUGAGCUGUCACAGGUUCCAUGCAGUUGGACUUCAGGUCGUUGUGGUGUGACUGGCAGUGCUGGGAAAGAGCAUCCCCUCUAAUAAAAGCCCCACCACACCCCGCGUGUGUUGCCUUUGGGGUGCUGGCUCUACUGGCUGCUGUAGACAUGAAUGAGAUUUCGUUACUGCAUUUAGCUGUGAGCCCUUAAUGAUGCUGUUAGUGUCAUUGCAAACCUCCCAUAGACCUUGUGGGAAGGAGAACUUCCCACUGGGUUUGCAGAGUUGUCCCGUAUCUGUAAAUUCUAAAAUUGCCUCUGGACCCUGGUAGGGGGAUAGAGAGGAAAACAUGUUUUUCUUUUCUUUUCUUUUUCUUUUCUUUUUUUUUUUUUUUCAUUCUCUUUUUCUUCUGUUCCAAGAAAUGUUCCCCAAGAAUUGCUGUAUUUUUCUUCUGCAGGGAUAAGUGCUAAAAGCCUACUCAGCCUCUGCAAUCUAAAUAAGUAACAACGAAUAUCUUGCGAUGAGGUCCACUGUGUAAUAGAGACCUUCUGAAGGUCUUCUUUCUUAAAAAUGCGCCAUUUCAUGUCCGAGAGGAAAGAAAAAGUUCUCAGUCUCUUUUGGAGUGUCUAAUUUAGAUAUUUCUGAGUCCAUCUCCCUAUUUCACCAGAGGCUUUUAGAGAAUUGCCACUCCUUUUAUUCCAAGUAACACUGAAAUUGUACCUGGAGUACCUGGAGUGGUAUUGCUGGAUAUUCCUGGUGUCUGCAUGUCACCCAGACAGGAACUACCCUUCACCUCUGUUUCUCAAGGCUCUUUCAUAUUGUGUUUUAUUGACAUUUUUUUCUUUGGAUUUGUCAUUAAUAUUUGACAACUGUAGUAAUGAACCUCCUGUGUCUUUGCAAGUUAUAUUUACGAUAAAAUUCUCCCCAUUUCAGCAUA
Long non-coding RNA from Falco peregrinus (peregrine falcon), 1446 nucleotides. RefSeq lists it as uncharacterized. Lineage: Eukaryota; Metazoa; Chordata; Aves; Falconiformes; Falconidae. The transcript has 2 exons. The record is from RefSeq and is a predicted model, not a curated record.